ACUCUGGAGUUUAGUAGCUCUUCAUUUUGACUUUUUAAUGGAACCCUGAGGAGACCAUGUGCUGCUGCUGCCUUGUUCCGUUUUGUGUUUUCCAGUUUGAUACCUCACUCCCAAGAAGACUUAACAUGGAAUCUCAAGGCCUGUGAAGUUCAUCUCUCUAUCAUCCAAAGAAUUCAGAUUGGAAUUCUCCUGAAUGUCCUUUUGUAAUCUUCAUAUAAUGUCUACAUUGAGAUAAAUAAGUAAAAAGUACAGACAGGGAGACUCUAGAGUAAAUUGAACGAGUGAACAGGACUGUACCAAUUCCAUCCCCGUUCAGGGCAUGAACUCCCACGACUCAAAUUGUACUCGAAUCCAGAUCAGUCUCAAGUGACUUCACUGACGUCAGCCCUACUUUAGCAAGACUUUGUGGGUAAAGUUUUUCAAAGACAGGGAAGGUGUUGCCACUGGACACUGACUGGAAACUCUCUUGCUUUCACUGCCUUUCCCUUUUAUUAAGAUGAGACAUAACCAAUCAUAAUUAGGUGCACUUCAUUUUUAAGUUAAAGGUUAAAUUACUCUCCUGCACAAAAGUGUAUAGGAGUCGAAACGAGCUGGCAACCUACUGUAUGUAUGAACAAUGAAAAGCAAAUAAUGUUUCAACGGUGUGUGCCUGCAGCGUUCGUAAUGGGCCAUAAAUCCACUUUUAUCACUCCUGCAUUCCCAGGGAUGAAUGUCCCCCUCCGCCAAGCAUGAUAAGCUUUUUCGGAUCGAUGCGCCACGCUUGGCUGACGCAGAAGGCGCUCUCUCCACGUUGAAGCACUCGUUAUAACCUGGGGUCGCCGUUUCAUACACGUGAUGUGCGACGCCGGAGGACAUGCGAGUGAUUUUAACAAUUGAGGAUCACGUGGAGGGAAUGGUUCAAACAUCUGCUACAAACAGCAGGAG
This is a long non-coding RNA of Syngnathus typhle (broad-nosed pipefish), 924 nucleotides long. RefSeq lists it as uncharacterized. The transcript has 2 exons. Lineage: Eukaryota; Metazoa; Chordata; Actinopteri; Syngnathiformes; Syngnathidae. The record is from RefSeq and is a predicted model, not a curated record.